Molecule: long non-coding RNA, 269 nt
Filed under: Homo sapiens (human)
Lineage: Eukaryota; Metazoa; Chordata; Mammalia; Primates; Hominidae
Description: HSALNT0350960
Source: RNAcentral
UAUCUCCCCAUACCCUAACUCCUUUCCCAAAGUAGGCAGAAAAACAGCCCUGUUGUUCCGGUGGAAGCCUUAGCUCUGUAUUCCUUUUAGACUGUAUUUCAAAACGCAUUAUUAGAGCCCCAAAGUCACCUGGUGAAAGAAUGUGAGAGCUGGAAGUGGCCUCAAAAUCCAGUUGAACCCUCUUAUUUCAUAUGUUUGGAAACUGAGCACUAGAAAAGACAGUGUCUUGCUAUGUUGCCCAGGAUGGACUUGAACUCCUGGGCUCAAGG